This 677-nucleotide ribosomal RNA is filed under the name uncultured bacterium. RNAcentral describes it as "bacterial SSU rRNA". It matches the Rfam family "Bacterial small subunit ribosomal RNA", at positions 202 to 883 of the family's 1533-position model. The record is from RNAcentral.
AAAGAUUUAUCGGUGAUGGAUGGGGAUGCGUCUGAUUAGCUUGUUGGCGGGGUAACGGCCCACCAAGGCAACGAUCAGUAGGGGUUCUGAGAGGAAGGUCCCCCACAUUGGAACUGAGACACGGUCCAAACUCCUACGGGAGGCAGCAGUGAGGAAUAUUGGUCAAUGGGCGAGAGCCUGAACCAGCCAAGUAGCGUGCAGGAAGACGGCCCUAUGGGUUGUAAACUGCUUUUAUAGGGGAAUAAAGUGAGCCACGUGUGGUUUUUUGCAUGUACCCUAUGAAUAAGGACCGGCUAAUUCCGUGCCAGCAGCCGCGGUAAUACGGAAGGUCCGGGCGUUAUCCGGAUUUAUUGGGUUUAAAGGGAGCGUAGGCCGGAGAUUAAGCGUGUUGUGAAAUGUAGAUGCUCAACAUCUGAACUGCAGCGCGAACUGGUUUCCUUGAGUACGCAUAAAGUGGGCGGAAUUCGUGGUGUAGCGGUGAAAUGCUUAGAUAUCACGAAGAACUCCGAUUGCGAAGGCAGCUCACUGGGGCGCAACUGACGCUGAAGCUCGAAAGCGCGGGUAUCGAACAGGAUUAGAUACCCUGGUAGUCCGCGCGGUAAACGAUGGAUGCCCGCUGUUGGGCCAACUGGUUCAGCGGCCAAGCGAAAGCAUUAAGCAUCCCACCUGGGGAGUAC